GCUAGUAAUCGUGGAUCAGCAUGCCACGGUGAAUACGUUCCCGGGUCUUGUACACACCGCCCGUCACACCAUGGGAGUCGGUAACACCCGAAGUCAGUAGUCUAACCGCAAGGAGGACGCUGCCGAAGGUGGGAUUGACGACUGGGGUGAAGUCGUAACAAGGUAAC
This 167-nucleotide ribosomal RNA is filed under the name uncultured bacterium. Its description in RNAcentral is "partial 16S ribosomal RNA". It matches the Rfam family "Bacterial small subunit ribosomal RNA", at positions 1334 to 1500 of the family's 1533-position model. The record is from RNAcentral.